RNAcentral lists this ribosomal RNA (2923 nucleotides) under Klebsiella quasipneumoniae. RNAcentral describes it as "23S ribosomal RNA". It matches the Rfam family "Bacterial large subunit ribosomal RNA". The record is from RNAcentral. Lineage: Bacteria; Pseudomonadati; Pseudomonadota; Gammaproteobacteria; Enterobacterales; Enterobacteriaceae.
GGGUUGUGAGGUUAAGCGACUAAGCGUACACGGUGGAUGCCCUGGCAGUCAGAGGCGAUGAAGGACGUGCUAAUCUGCGAAAAGCGUCGGUAAGGUGAUAUGAACCGUUAUAACCGGCGAUGUCCGAAUGGGGAAACCCAGUGCAAUUCGUUGCACUAUCGUUAACUGAAUACAUAGGUUAACGAGGCGAACCGGGGGAACUGAAACAUCUAAGUACCCCGAGGAAAAGAAAUCAACCGAGAUUCCCCCAGUAGCGGCGAGCGAACGGGGAGCAGCCCAGAGUCUGAAUCAGCUUGUGUGUUAGUGGAACGGUCUGGAAAGUCCGACGGUACAGGGUGAUAGUCCCGUACACCAAAAUGCACAGGUUGUGAACUCGAAGAGUAGGGCGGGACACGUGGUAUCCUGUCUGAAUAUGGGGGGACCAUCCUCCAAGGCUAAAUACUCCUGACUGACCGAUAGUGAACCAGUACCGUGAGGGAAAGGCGAAAAGAACCCCGGCGAGGGGAGUGAAAAAGAACCUGAAACCGUGUACGUACAAGCAGUGGGAGCACCUUCGGGUGUGACUGCGUACCUUUUGUAUAAUGGGUCAGCGACUUAUAUUCUGUAGCAAGGUUAACCGUAUAGGGGAGCCGCAGGGAAACCGAGUCUUAACUGGGCGUUAAGUUGCAGGGUAUAGACCCGAAACCCGGUGAUCUAGCCAUGGGCAGGUUGAAGGUUGGGUAACACUAACUGGAGGACCGAACCGACUAAUGUUGAAAAAUUAGCGGAUGACUUGUGGCUGGGGGUGAAAGGCCAAUCAAACCGGGAGAUAGCUGGUUCUCCCCGAAAGCUAUUUAGGUAGCGCCUCGUGAACUCAUCUUCGGGGGUAGAGCACUGUUUCGGCUAGGGGGUCAUCCCGACUUACCAACCCGAUGCAAACUACGAAUACCGAAGAAUGUUAUCACGGGAGACACACGGCGGGUGCUAACGUCCGUCGUGAAGAGGGAAACAACCCAGACCGCCAGCUAAGGUCCCAAAGUCAUGGUUAAGUGGGAAACGAUGUGGGAAGGCACAGACAGCCAGGAUGUUGGCUUAGAAGCAGCCAUCAUUUAAAGAAAGCGUAAUAGCUCACUGGUCGAGUCGGCCUGCGCGGAAGAUGUAACGGGGCUAAACCAUGCACCGAAGCUGCGGCAGCGACACGAUGUGUUGUUGGGUAGGGGAGCGUUCUGUAAGCCUGCGAAGGUGACCUGUGAGGGUUGCUGGAGGUAUCAGAAGUGCGAAUGCUGACAUAAGUAACGAUAAAGCGGGUGAAAAGCCCGCUCGCCGGAAGACCAAGGGUUCCUGUCCAACGUUAAUCGGGGCAGGGUGAGUCGACCCCUAAGGCGAGGCCGAAAGGCGUAGUCGAUGGGAAACAGGUUAAUAUUCCUGUACUUGGUGUUACUGCGAAGGGGGGACGGAGAAGGCUAUGUUAGCCGGGCGACGGUUGUCCCGGUUUAAGCAUGUAGGCUGGUUAUCCAGGCAAAUCCGGAUAAUCAAGGCUGAGGUGUGAUGACGAGGUACUACGGUGCUGAAGUAACAAAUGCCCUGCUUCCAGGAAAAGCCUCUAAGCAUCAGGUAACAUCAAAUCGUACCCCAAACCGACACAGGUGGUCAGGUAGAGAAUACCAAGGCGCUUGAGAGAACUCGGGUGAAGGAACUAGGCAAAAUGGUGCCGUAACUUCGGGAGAAGGCACGCUGGUGUGUAGGUGAAGUCCCUGCGGAUGGAGCUGAGACCAGUCGAAGAUACCAGCUGGCUGCAACUGUUUAUUAAAAACACAGCACUGUGCAAACACGAAAGUGGACGUAUACGGUGUGACGCCUGCCCGGUGCCGGAAGGUUAAUUGAUGGGGUUAUCCGUAAGGAGAAGCUCUUGAUCGAAGCCCCGGUAAACGGCGGCCGUAACUAUAACGGUCCUAAGGUAGCGAAAUUCCUUGUCGGGUAAGUUCCGACCUGCACGAAUGGCGUAAUGAUGGCCAGGCUGUCUCCACCCGAGACUCAGUGAAAUUGAACUCGCUGUGAAGAUGCAGUGUACCCGCGGCAAGACGGAAAGACCCCGUGAACCUUUACUAUAGCUUGACACUGAACAUUGAGCCUUGAUGUGUAGGAUAGGUGGGAGGCUUUGAAGCGUGGACGCCAGUCUGCGUGGAGCCAACCUUGAAAUACCACCCUUUAAUGUUUGAUGUUCUAACGUGGGCCCCUAAUCGGGGUUGCGGACAGUGUCUGGUGGGUAGUUUGACUGGGGCGGUCUCCUCCCAAAGCGUAACGGAGGAGCACGAAGGUUAGCUAAUCCUGGUCGGACAUCAGGAGGUUAGUGCAAUGGCAUAAGCUAGCUUGACUGCGAGCGUGACGGCGCGAGCAGGUGCGAAAGCAGGUCAUAGUGAUCCGGUGGUUCUGAAUGGAAGGGCCAUCGCUCAACGGAUAAAAGGUACUCCGGGGAUAACAGGCUGAUACCGCCCAAGAGUUCAUAUCGACGGCGGUGUUUGGCACCUCGAUGUCGGCUCAUCACAUCCUGGGGCUGAAGUAGGUCCCAAGGGUAUGGCUGUUCGCCAUUUAAAGUGGUACGCGAGCUGGGUUUAGAACGUCGUGAGACAGUUCGGUCCCUAUCUGCCGUGGGCGCUGGAGAAUUGAGGGGGGCUGCUCCUAGUACGAGAGGACCGGAGUGGACGCAUCACUGGUGUUCGGGUUGUCAUGCCAAUGGCACUGCCCGGUAGCUAAAUGCGGAAGAGAUAAGUGCUGAAAGCAUCUAAGCACGAAACUUGCCCCGAGAUGAGUUCUCCCUGAGACUUUAAGUCUCCUGAAGGAACGUUGAAGACGACGACGUUGAUAGGCCGGGUGUGUAAGCGCAGCGAUGCGUUGAGCUAACCGGUACUAAUGAACCGUGAGGCUUAACCUUACAACGCCGAAG